AUUGAACGCUGGCGGCAGGCCUAACACAUGCAAGUCGAGCGGAUGAAGGGAGCUUGCUCCUGGAUUCAGCGGCGGACGGGUGAGUAAUGCCUAGGAAUCUGCCUGGUAGUGGGGGAUAACGUCCGGACACGGGCGCUAAUACCGCAUACGUCCUGAGGGAGAAAGUGGGGGAUCUUCGGACCUCACGCUAUCAGAUGAGCCUAGGUCGGAUUAGCUAGUUGGUGGGGUAAAGGCCUACCAAGGCGACGAUCCGUAACUGGUCUGAGAGGAUGAUCAGUCACACUGGAACUGAGACACGGUCCAGACUCCUACGGGAGGCAGCAGUGGGGAAUAUUGGACAAUGGGCGAAAGCCUGAUCCAGCCAUGCCGCGUGUGUGAAGAAGGUCUUCGGAUUGUAAAGCACUUUAAGUUGGGAGGAAGAGCAGUAAGUUAAUACCUUGCUGUUUUGACGUUACCAACAGAAUAAGCACCGGCUAACUUCGUG
This 484-nucleotide ribosomal RNA is filed under the name uncultured bacterium. RNAcentral's name for it is "partial 16S ribosomal RNA". It matches the Rfam family "Bacterial small subunit ribosomal RNA", at positions 30 to 507 of the family's 1533-position model. The record is from RNAcentral.